Molecule: ribosomal RNA, 2066 nt
Filed under: Acidobacteriota bacterium
Lineage: Bacteria; Pseudomonadati; Acidobacteriota
Description: Acidobacteria bacterium partial 23S ribosomal RNA
Rfam family: Bacterial large subunit ribosomal RNA
Source: RNAcentral
GGUCAAGCUACUAAGGGUGCACGGUGGAUGCCUUGGCGCAGAGAGGCGAUGAAGGACGCGGCCAGCUGCGAUAAGCCUCGGGGAGCUGCAAACAGGCUUUGAUCCGAGGAUUUCCGAAUGGGAGAACCCGGCGGAGGUCAUGCUCCGCCAUUCCGGAGUGAACACAUAGCUCCGUGAAGGCCAACGGGGGGAAGUGAACCAUCUCAGUACCCCUAGGAAGAGAAAGCAACAUGCGAUUCCGUCAGUAGCGGCGAGCGAACGCGGAACAGCCCAAACCAGGCGGGCGCCAAGCCUGCAAGCGUUGUCCGCCUGGCGUCGUGGGGCAUCGCACGAUCCUGUUGCAGCGGGAUCAGGGAGUAAGAAAUCGGUCGUCUAGUCGAAAGUUCCUGGAACGGACCGCCAUAGAGGGUGACAGCCCCGUAGGCGAAAGGCGAGCGACUCCCGAGCGAUGUUCCCAAGUACCACGGGACACGAGAAACCCUGUGGGAAUUCGGGUGGACCAUCACCCAAGGCUAAAUGCUCCUCUGCGACCGAUAGUGAACCAGUACCGUGAGGGAAAGGUGAAAAGUACCCCUGCCUAGGGGAGUGAAAGAGUACCUGAAACCGUGCAUCUACAAGCAGUGGGAGCGCUAUGGCCCGUGUAUGCGGGUCCCGCGCGACCGCGUGCCUUUUGCAUAAUGAGCCGGCUAGUUACCGUCGCUGGCAAGGCGAAGCGUCUUGCAUAGCCGUAGCGAAAGCGAGUCUGAACAGGGCGAUCCAGUCAGCGGUGGUAGACGCGAAACGAGGUGAUCUACCCAUGGCCAGGGUGAAGCUGAGGUAACACUCAGUGGAGGCCCGAACCAAUGUUGGUUGAAAACGGCUUGGAUGAGCCGUGGGUAGGGGUGAAAGGCUAAUCAAACCUCGUUAUAGCUCGUUCUCCUCGAAAUAGCUUUAGGGCUAGCCUCGCGGAUUGCAUCGCGGAGGUAGAGCACUGGAUGGACUAGGGGGCCCAAAAGCUUACCGAAUCCAACCAAACUCCGAAUGCCGUGAAUGUGGACCGCGGGAGUCAGACUACGGGGGAUAAGCUCCGUGGUCGAGAGGGAAACAACCCAGAUCGCCAGCUAAGGUCCCCAAGUGUCAGCUAAGUGGGAAAGGAUGUGGAGACGUCCAGACAGCCAGGAGGUUGGCUUAGAAGCAGCCAUCCUUUAAAGAAAGCGUAACAGCUCACUGGUCAAGUGGCUCCGUGCCGAUAAUUCAACGGGGCUUAAGCUGAUCACCGAAGCUGCGGAUCCGACGGGCCUGCGGGCCCGCCGGGUGGUAGAGGAGCAUUCUGAGGGCGCUGAAGUCGGAUCGUGAGAACCGAUGGAGCGCUCAGAAGAGACCCUGCCGGCACAAGUAGCGACAAAGCAGGUGAGAACCCUGCUCGCCGUAAGUCUAAGGUUUCCUGAGGAAGGCCAAUCCGCUCAGGGUUAGUCGGCCCCUAAGGCGAGGCUGAAAAGCGUAGUCGAUGGGAAACAGGUCAACAUUCCUGUACCGUUCCGCUCUCGUUACGACGAUGGGGUGACGCAGGAGGAUAGACGAGCCUACGAUUGGAAGUGUAGGUUGAAGCGUGUAGGCGGGAGUCGUAGGAGAAUCCGCGGCUCCGUUAACGCUGAGACGUGAUCCCGAGGGCCUCGGCCCGCAAAGUCGUUGAUUCCAUGCUGCCAGGAAAAACCCCUAAGCAGAGUGCGGGGCGACCGUACCGCAAACGGACACACGUAGACGGGGAGAGAAUCCCAAGGCGCUUGAGUGAUCCCCUGUGAAGGAACUCGGCAAAUUGACACCGUAACUUCGGGAGAAGGUGUGCCACCGGCGGUGAUGAGGCUUGCCCUCUGAGCUGCUGGGGGUCGCAGUGAAAUGGCCCAGGCGACUGUUUACUAAAAACACAGGACUCUGCUAAGUCGAACACGACGUAUAGGGUCUGACGCCUGCCCGGUGCCGGAAGGUUAAGAGGAAGUGUUAGCGGACCUUCGGGUUCGCGAAGCUCUGAAUUGAAGCCCCGGUAAACGGCGGCCGUAACUAUAACGGUCCUAAGGUAGCGAAAUUCC